Non-coding RNA from Potamilus streckersoni, 70 nucleotides. NCBI's taxonomy places the organism in Eukaryota, Metazoa, Mollusca, Bivalvia, Unionida, Unionidae. The record is from the annotation of a GenBank genome assembly.
GAGGUGGCCUAGUGGUUAGAGCGUCCGCCUUAGAUGCGAGAGGUCGUGGGUUCGAACCCCGGCCGAGGCA